RNAcentral lists this ribosomal RNA (605 nucleotides) under uncultured bacterium. RNAcentral's name for it is "bacterial SSU rRNA". It matches the Rfam family "Bacterial small subunit ribosomal RNA", at positions 888 to 1498 of the family's 1533-position model. The record is from RNAcentral.
GCAAGAUUAAAACUCAAAGGAAUAGACGGGGACCCGCACAAGUGGUGGAGCAUGUGGUUUAAUUCGAAGAUACGCGAAGAACCUUACCUAGCCUUGACAUUGAUAGAAUCUUCCAGAGAUGGAGGAGUGCCUUUCGGGGAACUUGAAAACAGGUGCUGCACGGCUGUCGUCAGCUCGUGUCGUGAGAUGUUGGGUUAAGUCCCGCAACGAGCGCAACCCUCGUCAUUAGUUACUAACAGUUCGGCUGAGGACUCUAAUGAGACUGCCUUCGUAAGGGGGAGGAAGGUGAGGACGACGUCAAGUCAUCAUGGCCCUUACGGCUAGGGCGACACACGUGCUACAAUGGUUAGGACAAUGAGAAGCGAUACCGCGAGGUGGAGCAAAUCUAUAAACCUAAUCUCAGUUCGGAUUGUAGUCUGCAACUCGACUACAUGAAGCUGGAAUCACUAGUAAUCGUAGAUCAGCCAUGCUACGGUGAAUACGUUCCCGGGUCUUGUACUCACCGCCCGUCACACCAUGGGAGUUGAUUUCACCCGAAGCGGGGAAGCUAAACUGGCUACCCUCCACGGUGGAGUUAGCGACUGGGGUGAAGUCGUAACAAGGUA